GAGAGAGAAAGUGUGUGUGUGCAUGUGUGUGUGCAUGUGUGUGUGUGUGUGUGUGUGUGUGUGUGGACUUGAGAUGUCCCACCAUGCCUUGAGGUGGCAUCGCAACCU
Alosa sapidissima (American shad) is the source of this 108-nucleotide long non-coding RNA. RefSeq lists it as uncharacterized. The transcript is spliced from 3 exons. The record is from RefSeq and is a predicted model, not a curated record. NCBI's taxonomy places the organism in Eukaryota, Metazoa, Chordata, Actinopteri, Clupeiformes, Clupeidae.